Molecule: ribosomal RNA, 543 nt
Filed under: uncultured bacterium
Lineage: Bacteria
Description: partial 16S ribosomal RNA
Rfam family: Bacterial small subunit ribosomal RNA
Source: RNAcentral
UGGGGAAUUUUGGACAAUGGGCGAAAGCCUGAUCCAGCAAUGCCGCGUGUGUGAAGAAGGCCUUCGGGUUGUAAAGCACUUUUGUCCGGAAAGAAAUCCUUGGCUCUAAUACAGUCGGGGGAUGACGGUACCGGAAGAAUAAGCACCGGCUAACUACGUGCCAGCAGCCGCGGUAAUACGUAGGGUGCAAGCGUUAAUCGGAAUUACUGGGCGUAAAGCGUGCGCAGGCGGUUUGCUAAGACCGAUGUGAAAUCCCCGGGCUCAACCUGGGAACUGCAUUGGUGACUGGCAGGCUAGAGUAUGGCAGAGGGGGGUAGAAUUCCACUGUAGCAGUGAAAAUGCGUAGAGAUGUGGAGGAAUACCGAUGGCGAAGGCAGCCCCCUGGGCCAAUACUGACGCUCAUGCACGAAAGCGUGGGGAGCAAAACAGGAUUAGAUACCCUGGUAGUCCACGCCCUAAAACGAUGUCAACUAGUUGUUGGGGAUUCAUUUCCUUAGUAACGUAGCUAACGCGUGAAGUUGACCGCCUGGGGAGUACGGUCGC